Molecule: long non-coding RNA, 840 nt
Organism: Colias croceus (clouded yellow)
Lineage: Eukaryota; Metazoa; Arthropoda; Insecta; Lepidoptera; Pieridae
Exons: 2
Source: RefSeq, a predicted model, not a curated record
UUGCUAGAAACAUAAAUUUUAAAGUUACAAAAUUAUAAAAAAUAGGUUUGUUCGGAGCCCUCGGAGCGCGAGUCCGACUCUCACUUGGCCGGUUUUUUGCUUUACAGUUUGCAGUUAAUGAAUAAGGUUUAUGUUGAUAUGUGAUAUUAUGAUAACAAGGUACUUUUAUUAGACUGAUAAAUAAAGAGAAGUAUUGAAAUUUUGUUUCUUUAUUAAUUUAUUAAAAUAAUACACAAGCCGCGUAAAAUAAAAGAGGCCCAUCAGGUACUUUUACAGUUACUUUUGUUUAAUUUCGUAUUUUUUUCCGAGGUAUUAUAAAAGAACCGGGUAACCCGGUUCUACCCGGUUCUGAGCUCGAUUUGGAACCGGGUUUCAGAAACUUGGAACCGGACUCGGUUCUGCAUGCCCUACUGCACACUCAUGUGGCUGACUCAGCUGAACACUUUUUAUGCACACUUGUAUGUAUUGUUUACUCUUUUAUGGCAUUCUACGAAGGAUAUCAUAAUUUUACUUUGCUAUUAUUUCAUCAUAACAAGGGUAAAUAUUUACAUAUACAUGUAUCUUUUUAGAGAUAUGAUUGUCCUGUAAUGAGUUCAUUAUCUCAAAUCCGCUUUCACCUUUAUUGAGCAUCCGCCUAGCGGCAGCGACACAGGGACGGCAUCAAGAAACCGGUUUCCCGAACGAGCGCCGUCCCCGCGCCCCUCCUCAGAGCGGAGGCCCCGCUCUCUUUUACCUCGAGCGUCGUACACGACACACGCCACCUAUAGGCGUGCUAUUGUCUUUUUUCACUGAAUAUUUUGUACGAGUAAUUAUUAUCAAAUAUACACAUCGAACCUUUAA